UACAGAGGGUGCAAGCGUUGUUCGGAAUUACUGGGCGUAAAGCGAGCGUAGUCGGUAUUGAGAGUCAUAGGUGAAAUCCCAGGGCUUAACCCUGGAACUGCCCGUGAGACCUCAGUACUGGAGUGUGAGAGGGGAUAGUGGAAUACCAAGUGUAGCGGUGAAAUGCGUAGAGAUUUGGUGGAACACCGGUGGCGAAGGCGGCUAUCUGGCUCACAACUGACGAUCAGGCUCGAAAGCGUGGGGAGCAAACAGG
Molecule: ribosomal RNA, 253 nt
Filed under: uncultured bacterium
Lineage: Bacteria
Description: partial 16S ribosomal RNA
Rfam family: Bacterial small subunit ribosomal RNA
Source: RNAcentral